GAUCAUGAAUAUGAAAAAAAAAAACUUUGAAAACUAAAAAUAAUAAGUAUAUUGAGAAAACAUUUGGACCAUUAAGUUACAUCUCGACAUCGACAUGAUCAAUCAAAGGGUUUUUCAACAUUAAAACUACCUUUUCCGAUGGAUUUUUGAAGUGCAUCCAUAAUUCUACAUUGCAUCCAUAAUUCUACAUUAUAAGGUUGCAUCCUUAUAUAUACUUUUUCCUUAUUUUAAUAGGGCUUGGGUGAGAGGUUAGAGGUACGCACAUGGCUAGGGGGAGAGAAGAAGUAAGGUAACGUCCUAGAAAGUGGGGAUUUUGCAGAAAAUAUAUUAGUUAAGAGAUAGAAUAUUCCCCCGUGUAUUAAUGUUCAAAAAAAUAAUAAUAAUACUCAAUAGAGAGAGCAGUAGAGGCUAACUAGUGGAUCAUUCACUUGAAAGUGAAUAUAAUCGAUCACCAUGGUAUGAAAUAUACAUAUCCUAAUUGAAACGGAUCAAAGGAAUAAGACUACUUAUGUUGGGGCAAGAUUUAUUUAAUUAGUUAUUUUUUUACGUAUCAGAAGAGAUAUACUAGGGAUGGAAGGAACACCUUUCUCAGACUUGAAUUGACUGAGAAAAAAAAUGCUUUCCUAGGAGAAAGCUUGCACAACAGAUUUGUUCCUCUCUCUUGUUUUUUUCCUGCUUAUGGUGUGAUUGAUUUAGGUAUUAAGUUUUUUGUGGCUAGAAUCUCUACUCUCUACUCUCUACUCUCUUCCCUUCUGUUUUGACGUAUCAAAUUGGUAGCAUGGCAGGCUUAUUGAUCCGCCAUGGCAGCUAGGGGACAUGGCGGAGGAGGAAGGCGCAACCAAGCUCAAAUUGACAUGAUCCAAGAGGUAUGGAGACAAGUAGAUCGAAUGGUACAAGAAAUUCAAGCCUUGUGGACCCGAUCAACCUGUUUGUGAAUUGGAUGUUGAGUCGGGAGAUGAUUCACAAUUAGAUGAGAAUCAUUUCCACAAUCAUUGCAUGGGGUUUUGAUCUUCCACUUGAUGAUCACUUUGAUCCCAUGGGUGGUCCGAUAUAUGAUAAAGAACAAGUUGAAGGUCACCAUUCCUUGAUAUCAUCUUGAACCUAGAGGAGCUAGAGUCUUGAGAGAAUUUAGAGGAAGAAAGAAGUCUAAGGAGGGAGACACAAAGGGGAGAGUUUGUGAAUGCAACAUAUGAGGUUCUUGAUAAUGUGAUCAAUUACUAUUAGAAAGAGGUUCUUGAUAAUGUGAUCAAUUACUAUUAAAAAGGUAUGGAGGUUGAAGAAGACAAAUCUUGUUUAACUGAAAAAAGAUCAACGAUAAAGA
RNAcentral lists this long non-coding RNA (1321 nucleotides) under Amborella trichopoda. RNAcentral describes it as "long non-coding RNA (ATRI_LNC003525)". Lineage: Eukaryota; Viridiplantae; Streptophyta; Magnoliopsida; Amborellales; Amborellaceae. The record is from RNAcentral.